UUAGCGUGGGGUGGUGGUUGGACUAGAUGAUCUUAUUGGUCUUCCUUUCCAACCCUAAAAAGACUUUGGUUUUAUCAUUUGUAGGUGGGGAGCGCCACCUGCUGCGGGCAAUGCACCGAGCGACCCUUCAACAACUGUUACAUCGGCAUCAUAACUGCAUUGAUGGGAAAUGAGUUACCAAAGUUGUGGUAUUUUGUAUCCUACGCCUUCCAUCAGUCAUUACAGAAGGUAAAAAGCAGCUGAUCGCCACUGUCAGUCAGAAGAACAUCUUAACUGAUACCACCUGAAGAUAUUUUCUGUUUAAAAAGAUAAAUGGCAAAAGCUGAUCUACUAAAAUGAUCUGUUUGGGAGUUGGGAACUCUUCACCAGCAUGUGGCCUUGCAGACCAAUUAGACCAAUGACUGCCAGAGCUCUGUGGGCACUAAUGGCCUUAAGCAGCCCCACCUGUGGCCAUCAGCAGUUCUGCCCUAGAGAUGCUCGCUGCUGCCUGUCUUCGUGUGAGGCUUAUCAAAGUGCACUUUGUCUUUGGAACAGCACUGACUGAGCCAGCACAAGAACAGGCUGCAGCUGCAGAGGGGGACACAAGCAUGGAUGCUCAUGGCAGAACACAAGGACAGCUCAUGCUUCUUUUUCCAUGCUCUCAGCAGAGAUCUGUGAGACAUAUCUUAAGAAAUACAAGUACUGGGGAAGCAUUUAUGCCUACUAGCUGAAUGGCAGCUUAAGAAAUUCCUCCUAUGUCCUAAUGUGUUCAAAAGUUUUUAUCUUCACGCUUCUCUACCUUGAAACUUUCCUGUCAGAAAAGGAAAAAAACAAACUAAACUAAAACAGCCCUGCUCCAGCUGGAACACCUCUCACCUAAGCCAGGUGCUUCUUCUAAUUAAUAAUGUGUAGUGUGGGGGGGCACCUCUCACUGCUGUGAGCCCUGGGAUAUAGCCUAGAUCCACAGGGUAAAAUACAGGGAGUUUAUGACAUUAUUUGCCCAGAGGGUUUGAGGAUGCUUCAUCCCUGGAGGUGUUCAACGCCAGGUUAGAUGUGGCCAUGGGUAGCCUGAUCUGGUGCCUGAUUUAUUGGUUGGCAGCCCUGUUUCAGCAUGGAGUUGUAAAUAGAUGCUCUUUGAGGUCCCUUCUAAUUUAAGUCAUUCUUAAUGACACAGUGAUUCUGUAGCUUACAACCAGCUGAUGGUAUCCUCAUGCCAAGCUUUUGCCACAUCUCCAGCCCUCUGCUGCUAAUCAGUGCACGGUCUAUAUAAAUGCACACCUGUUAUAGGCACAAAACAAGCACUGCAGAGCUAUAUCUGUAAAAGCUUGUUCUCCUGUUGGAGAGUCACAACAGUGAGGUACAAGAUGUGAUGCCUGCCACUGUGUGCUGCUUUCCUUCACCCUCUCCCUUCUUCUCACAGCUAGGACAUUACUUUCUCAGUAGACUGAAUACACCUAUUUUCCUCAUGGCCAGAAACUGGGACAUCUUGCAUUUUCAUGUUUAAGUUCAGGUACUUGUGGCACAAAAAGCCAGAGCUACUGCCCCCAUUAGCCUUAUGGAGUUAUAGAAUUGUUUGAGCUGGAAGGAACCCCUGGAGGCC
RNAcentral lists this long non-coding RNA (1579 nucleotides) under Coturnix japonica (Japanese quail). RNAcentral describes it as "lncRNA (ENSCJPG00005016839.1)". Lineage: Eukaryota; Metazoa; Chordata; Aves; Galliformes; Phasianidae. The record is from RNAcentral.